Molecule: ribosomal RNA, 493 nt
Filed under: uncultured bacterium
Lineage: Bacteria
Description: partial 16S ribosomal RNA
Rfam family: Bacterial small subunit ribosomal RNA
Source: RNAcentral
AUGAACGCUGGCGGCGUGCCUAAUACAUGCAAGUCGAGCGAACAGAUGAGGAGCUUGCUCCUCUGACGUUAGCGGCGGACGGGUGAGUAACACGUGGAUAACCUACCUAUAAGACUGGGAUAACUUCGGGAAACCGGAGCUAAUACCGGAUAAUAUAUUGAACCGCAUGGUUCAAUAGUGAAAGACGGUUUUGCUGUCACUUAUAGAUGGAUCCGCGCCGCAUUAGCUAGUUGGUAAGGUAACGGCUUACCAAGGCGACGAUGCGUAGCCGACCUGAGAGGGUGAUCGGCCACACUGGAACUGAGACACGGUCCAGACUCCUACGGGAGGCAGCAGUAGGGAAUCUUCCGCAAUGGGCGAAAGCCUGACGGAGCAACGCCGCGUGAGUGAUGAAGGUCUUCGGAUCGUAAAACUCUGUUAUUAGGGAAGAACAAAUGUGUAAGUAACUAUGCACGUCUUGACGGUACCUAAUCAGAAAGCCACGGCUAACUAC